This 72-nucleotide transfer RNA is filed under the name Camelus bactrianus (Bactrian camel). It matches the Rfam family "tRNA". From Rfam's summary of the family: Transfer RNA (tRNA) molecules are approximately 80 nucleotides in length. Their secondary structure includes four short double-helical elements and three loops (D, anti-codon, and T loops). RNAcentral also lists the same sequence under 2 other names. Lineage: Eukaryota; Metazoa; Chordata; Mammalia; Artiodactyla; Camelidae. The record is from Rfam by way of RNAcentral.
GAGGGUAGGGCUCAGUGGUAGAGCACAUGCUUAGCAUGCACAAGGUUGUGGGUUCAAUCCCCAGUACCUCCA